UACGAAGGGGGCUAGCGUUGUUCGGAAUUACUGGGCGUAAAGCGCGCGCAGGCGGUCUUCCAAGUCAGUGGUGAAAGCCCGGAGCUCAACUCCGGAACUGCCAUUGAAACUGUAAGACUUGAGGAUGAGAGGUGAGUGGAAUUCCCAGUGUAGAGGUGAAAUUCGUAGAUAUUGGGAAGAACACCGGUGGCGAAGGCGGCUCACUGGCUCAUUUCUGACGCUCAGGCGCGACAGCGUGGGGAGCAAACAGG
Molecule: ribosomal RNA, 251 nt
Filed under: uncultured bacterium
Lineage: Bacteria
Description: partial 16S ribosomal RNA
Rfam family: Bacterial small subunit ribosomal RNA
Source: RNAcentral